ACGAACGCUGGCGGCGUGCUUAACCCCUGCCAGUCGCACGGAAAGGCCUCUUUCGGGGGGUACUCGAGUGGCGAACGGGUGAGUAACACGUGAGUAACCUGCCCUUGACUUUGGGAUAACUUCAGGAAACUGGGGCUAAUACCGGAUAGGAGCUCCUGCUGCAUGGUGGGGGUUGGAAAGUUUCGGCGGUUGGGGAUGGACUCGCGGCUUAUCAGCUUGUUGGUGGGGUAGUGGCUUACCAAGGCUUUGACGGGUAGCCGGCCUGAGAGGGUGACCGGCCACAUUGGGACUGAGAUACGGCCCAGACUCCUACGGGAGGCAGCAGGGGGGAAUAUUGCACAAUGGGUGGAAGCCUGAUGCAGCAACGCCGUGUGCGGGAUGACGGCCUUCGGGUUGGAAACCGCUUUCGCUCAUGACGAAGCUUUGUGUGACAGUAGUGGGUAAAGAAGCACCGGCUAACUACGUG
This 466-nucleotide ribosomal RNA is filed under the name uncultured bacterium. RNAcentral describes it as "partial 16S ribosomal RNA". It matches the Rfam family "Bacterial small subunit ribosomal RNA", at positions 29 to 507 of the family's 1533-position model. The record is from RNAcentral.